Callithrix jacchus (white-tufted-ear marmoset) is the source of this 1012-nucleotide non-coding RNA. NCBI's taxonomy places the organism in Eukaryota, Metazoa, Chordata, Mammalia, Primates, Cebidae. The record is from RefSeq and is a predicted model, not a curated record.
GUCAACACCACCUGCUGUUUCCUUCGCACAGGAGGUGGUGGGAGGGGAGGCGCUUCCAGAUCUCCUGACACAAAGGGCUGCCCACCUCCCUGGUCCUUCACCGGAAGCUUCAGGAGGCAGACACACACACAGUAGCCAGCCACUCUCUCCAGGGCACGGGGAGCGGGACAAAAAGCAAUUUCGAGAUUUGUACCGUGCUGGCCAGGUCCUUCAAGAAUGACUACACUGUCACCACAAUGGUAACAAUGGGGAACCCGCCGCCCACGGCUCUUGCACAGCAGGUAAUGCUGGAGUGCAGAUGACUGGAGGGACCCCCAGAGCUGCCCAGGCACUUCCCGGUGGCUGCUUCCUUUGCACUUUGCACCGACAGCUGCACUUACAAUAAAAACGCCCUCCCUUCCACGGCCCCCUGGGCCCUCCCAUCUCUCCUUCCUUUUCCAUGCUCUCCUGGCUGUUGACUGUUUUCCACUGAAGGAGCCCAGACCGGUGUCCAGCUCUCCCCACCUCACCUCUUCCUCCCUCAGUCCGGGGCAUCCGCGGCUCACAGGUAAUAAAUUUGCUUCGUGUAACCUGUUGAGUAUGAAUGCGUUCUGUCUCACGGGACACAGACUCGUUGGUAACCAGCACACAUCGAACCUGCUCUACAGCCACCCUUAACUAACUGGGGAUAUGUGCCUCAGCCUUCUGUCUCCAGAGGACGAAUUCCGACUCCUCAGUGGAAGUGAGCCUCAGUGACCCUUAGUGGUGAUCAGCUCAAAAAUGCCCCCUUUGGUUGGUCCUCCCGGUCUUCCUCGCUGUCUCUCACUCGCUGUCUCUCUCCUCCUCUGCUUCUGGGAAUCACCUCCCAGGUCAAGUACCUGCAUCUAAGCUCUUGACUCCAACUCUAAGUAAGUCAAUAUUCAAAAUAUUUGUUGAACAGAAAAUGAAAUACCGCAUAUUCUCACUCAUAGGCGGGUGAUGAAAAAUGAGAACACAUGGACACAGGGAGGGGAGUACUAAACACUGGGGUCUA